Molecule: microRNA precursor, 78 nt
Filed under: Mus pahari (shrew mouse)
Lineage: Eukaryota; Metazoa; Chordata; Mammalia; Rodentia; Muridae
Description: miRNA (MGP_PahariEiJ_G0007384.1)
Source: RNAcentral
CCUAGAACUCAUUCUGUAGACCAGGCUAGAGUUGAAUUUCCAGAGAUCCGCCUGCCUCUGCCUCCCAAGUGCUGGGAU